This 887-nucleotide ribosomal RNA is filed under the name Pseudomonas aeruginosa. Its description in RNAcentral is "bacterial SSU rRNA". It matches the Rfam family "Bacterial small subunit ribosomal RNA", at positions 9 to 873 of the family's 1533-position model. The record is from RNAcentral. Lineage: Bacteria; Pseudomonadati; Pseudomonadota; Gammaproteobacteria; Pseudomonadales; Pseudomonadaceae.
AGGGUUUUAUUCUGGCUCAGAUUCAACGCUGGCGUCAGGCCUAACACAUGCAAGUCGAGCGGAUGAAGGGAGCUUGCUCCUGGAUUCAGCGGCGGACGGGUGAGUAAUGCUUAGGAAUCUGCCUGGUAGUGGGGGAUAACGUCCGGAAACGGGCGCUAAUACGGCAUACGUCNUGAGGGAGAAAGUGGGGGAUCUUCGGACCUCACGCUAUCAGAUGAGCCUAGGUCGGAUUAGCUAGUUGGUGGGGUAAAGGCCUACCAAGGCGACGAUCCGUAACUGGUCUGAGAGGAUGAUCAGUCACACUGGAACUGAGACACGGUCCAGACUCCUACGGGAGGCAGCAGUGGGGAAUAUUGGACAAUGGGCGAAAGCCUGAUCCAGCCAUGCCGCGUGUGUGAAGAAGGUCUUCGGAUUGUAAAGCACUUUAAGUUGGGAGGAAGGGCAGUAAGUUAAUACCUUGCUGUUUUGACGUUACCAACAGAAUAAGCACCGGCUAACUUCGUGCCAGCAGCCGCGGUAAUACGAAGGGUGCAAGCGUUAAUCGGAAUUACUGGGCGUAAAGCGCGCGUAGGUGGUUCAGCAAGUUGGAUGUGAAAUCCCCGGGCUCAACCUGGGAACUGCAUCCAAAACUACUGAGCUAGAGUACGGUAGAGGGUGGUGGAAUUUCCUGUGUAGCGGUGAAAUGCGUAGAUAUAGGAAGGAACACCAGUGGCGAAGGCGACCACCUGGACUGAUACUGACACUGAGGUGCGAAAGCGUGGGGAGCAAACAGGAUUAGAUACCCUGGUAGUCCACGCCGUAAACGAUGUCGACUAGCCGUUGGGAUCCUUGAGAUCUUAGUGGCGCAGCUAACGCGAUAAGUCGACCGCCUGGGAGNCNCNNNANNG